Molecule: ribosomal RNA, 1230 nt
Filed under: Lactiplantibacillus plantarum
Lineage: Bacteria; Bacillati; Bacillota; Bacilli; Lactobacillales; Lactobacillaceae
Description: bacterial SSU rRNA
Rfam family: Bacterial small subunit ribosomal RNA
Source: RNAcentral
UGGAAGUGGCGCGUGCUAUACAUGCAAGUCGAACGAACUCUGGUAUUGAUUGGUGCUUGCAUCAUGAUUUACAUUUGAGUGAGUGGCGAACUGGUGAGUAACACGUGGGAAACCUGCCCAGAAGCGGGGGAUAACACCUGGAAACAGAUGCUAAUACCGCAUAACAACUUGGACCGCAUGGUCCGAGCUUGAAAGAUGGCUUCGGCUAUCACUUUUGGAUGGUCCCGCGGCGUAUUAGCUAGAUGGUGGGGUAACGGCUCACCAUGGCAAUGAUACGUAGCCGACCUGAGAGGGUAAUCGGCCACAUUGGGACUGAGACACGGCCCAAACUCCUACGGGAGGCAGCAGUAGGGAAUCUUCCACAAUGGACGAAAGUCUGAUGGAGCAACGCCGCGUGAGUGAAGAAGGGUUUCGGCUCGUAAAACUCUGUUGUUAAAGAAGAACAUAUCUGAGAGUAACUGUUCAGGUAUUGACGGUAUUUAACCAGAAAGCCACGGCUAACUACGUGCCAGCAGCCGCGGUAAUACGUAGGUGGCAAGCGUUGUCCGGAUUUAUUGGGCGUAAAGCGAGCGCAGGCGGUUUUUUAAGUCUGAUGUGAAAGCCUUCGGCUCAACCGAAGAAGUGCAUCGGAAACUGGGAAACUUGAGUGCAGAAGAGGACAGUGGAACUCCAUGUGUAGCGGUGAAAUGCGUAGAUAUAUGGAAGAACACCAGUGGCGAAGGCGGCUGUCUGGUCUGUAACUGACGCUGAGGCUCGAAAGUAUGGGUAGCAAACAGGAUUAGAUACCCUGGUAGUCCAUACCGUAAACGAUGAAUGCUAAGUGUUGGAGGGUUUCCGCCCUUCAGUGCUGCAGCUAACGCAUUAAGCAUUCCGCCUGGGGAGUACGGCCGCAAGGCUGAAACUCAAAGGAAUUGACGGGGGCCCGCACAAGCGGUGGAGCAUGUGGUUUAAUUCGAAGCUACGCGAAGAACCUUACCAGGUCUUGACAUACUAUGCAAAUCUAAGAGAUUAGACGUUCCCUUCGGGGACAUGGAUACAGGUGGUGCAUGGUGUCGUCAGCUCGUGUCGUGAGAUGUUGGGUUAAGUCCCGCACGAGCGCACCCUUAUUAUCAGUUGCCAGCAUUAAGUGGCACUCUGGUGAGACUGCCGGUGACAAACCGGAGGAAGGUGGGGGAUGGACGUCAAUCAUUCAUGCCCUUAUGACCUGGGCUUACACACCGGGGCUCCAUG